UAAUAUUCCCCCAUGUUAUCAAUGAGGUCUGAUCAACUAAUGGCAGCUGCAAAAUAAUUGUGGCAGACAAAAUCUUUGUCUUUUGAAGUGUCCCUCCUUUCUGCUUUGCUCAUUUUCUGCUUGCAGUAAUUUCCUCCACCAUUCAAGCACCAAAGAAGUUGUAAUUGACAAAUGGGAAAACUAAUCUGGUUAUUAGCUGAAGCAUGGGCUUUUCAGCAGCUUCCCAGGGUGAGCUGUACAAAGAGCUUUCUUACUAGGAAAAUACUGACCUGGGCGUUGUCAAAUCUCUUGCAGAGACAGGUCAGAGGAAAAUGCUGCUUCCAGUACACUGUUCUCCAGCUGAGCUGAGAGUGACUUCCCAAGAUAAGACCCUGCUGUUACUCAGCUUCUAAAUAAGUUAUCAGACCGAAAAGCUGGUGUCACGGUGCUCCAACAUUGUAGCAAUGGAGGAAGAUUUGGUGCUGGCAACUAUUCUUACAACAUACAGAACAGAGCAUGAAGGUGAGGAAACAUGUUGUAUUUGAUCAAACCUUUAAUAUGUGAUAUUCUUGGGCAUUUUUGCAGGACAAUGCUCUAAUACACAUCUACUCCUCAAAUACUUUACAUUACAGUCUGUGACUGAACUUUGGAGGGCUUUCAGAGAGGAGCGGUGUACAUCAGCUGACAUGAGCUCAUGUGGUUAAAAAGAAGCAUGGCAAAGUGACAUCAAACACGUCUGAUUCCAGCCUGACAUAACUAAUAGACAAAAACCUCUCUGUUAUUCUAUUCCAUAGUGAACAACUUGAUCUGAAUGCAAGGAUUCUGUAUUUCCACUGGUGAAACUGAAGAACAGUUUCAUCCUUUGCCCUGUCUGUCUUUUUAAACCUGCUAAUUUGUAUUUAUGACUAUAAAUACAGAGAUCAUACCGCAGGUCAAGCAUUUUCUAGAAUUCUCUGGUGUAGAGACUCACUCAGUAAAACACAUCCUGUAGUUUUAGCUGGCAAAUAUAACAGAAACAAGAAUGAAAGUAAUAAGAUCUUAGGCACUUAGGGGGAAAAAAAAAGAAAAAAAAAAAAGAUUGUUAUCUACAUUUUUCAUUUGCUGUUAGUGAGAAAAGUAGCCAGCAAUAUGUAGGUCAGCAUCAGUAGCUGCUUUGGUAGUCUGAGAACAGUUUAAAGGAAGGAAGAGGUUUCUCUUUGUGGUUGAAUAAGUUACUCUAUAUCCAUGAAGUAGCUGUGUCUCACCCCCAAAGGGAGAAGCAUUAUCAGCAAAUGAAUGAACAGGCAUUCUGUGUUAUGCCAGUAGCACUGUCUUUGAAAACAAGGGAGACAAGAAAAACAGAUUUGGUGUGGCUUUUAUUUUCCUGUCGACCAUUGUAAUGGAGCUCCUCCAUUAACUCAUUCUUGUCAGGUUGAAUUGAAAGUGACAGUUAAUAACUUACACCAGCAUCUGCUUUCACUUGAUUGCAAUAGAGCUCUGCAGUGUCCUCACAGUGUUUGGAGAGACAUGGUUUGUGGGCAGAGGUACUAUCUUGUAUUAGAGUAUUAGGCACAGAUGGAUCAAAAUAAAAAGAUAUGCUCUUG
This 1562-nucleotide long non-coding RNA is filed under the name Anser brachyrhynchus (Pink-footed goose). RNAcentral's name for it is "lncRNA (ENSABRG00000017302.1)". The record is from RNAcentral. Lineage: Eukaryota; Metazoa; Chordata; Aves; Anseriformes; Anatidae.